RNAcentral lists this ribosomal RNA (1123 nucleotides) under Bacillus safensis. Its description in RNAcentral is "bacterial SSU rRNA". It matches the Rfam family "Bacterial small subunit ribosomal RNA", at positions 30 to 1141 of the family's 1533-position model. The record is from RNAcentral. Lineage: Bacteria; Bacillati; Bacillota; Bacilli; Caryophanales; Bacillaceae.
CCAAGUGGCGGGCGUGCCUAAUACAUGCAAGUCGAGCGGACAGAAGGGAGCUUGCUCCCGGAUGUUAGCGGCGGACGGGUGAGUAACACGUGGGUAACCUGCCUGUAAGACUGGGAUAACUCCGGGAAACCGGAGCUAAUACCGGAUAGUUCCUUGAACCGCAUGGUUCAAGGAUGAAAGACGGUUUCGGCUGUCACUUACAGAUGGACCCGCGGCGCAUUAGCUAGUUGGUGGGGUAAUGGCUCACCAAGGCGACGAUGCGUAGCCGACCUGAGAGGGUGAUCGGCCACACUGGGACUGAGACACGGCCCAGACUCCUACGGGAGGCAGCAGUAGGGAAUCUUCCGCAAUGGACGAAAGUCUGACGGAGCAACGCCGCGUGAGUGAUGAAGGUUUUCGGAUCGUAAAGCUCUGUUGUUAGGGAAGAACAAGUGCGAGAGUAACUGCUCGCACCUUGACGGUACCUAACCAGAAAGCCACGGCUAACUACGUGCCAGCAGCCGCGGUAAUACGUAGGUGGCAAGCGUUGUCCGGAAUUAUUGGGCGUAAAGGGCUCGCAGGCGGUUUCUUAAGUCUGAUGUGAAAGCCCCCGGCUCAACCGGGGAGGGUCAUUGGAAACUGGGAAACUUGAGUGCAGAAGAGGAGAGUGGAAUUCCACGUGUAGCGGUGAAAUGCGUAGAGAUGUGGAGGAACACCAGUGGCGAAGGCGACUCUCUGGUCUGUAACUGACGCUGAGGAGCGAAAGCGUGGGGAGCGAACAGGAUUAGAUACCCUGGUAGUCCACGCCGUAAACGAUGAGUGCUAAGUGUUAGGGGGUUUCCGCCCCUUAGUGCUGCAGCUAACGCAUUAAGCACUCCGCCUGGGGAGUACGGUCGCAAGACUGAAACUCAAAGGAAUUGACGGGGGCCCGCACAAGCGGUGGAGCAUGUGGUUUAAUUCGAAGCAACGCGAAGAACCUUACCAGGUCUUGACAUCCUCUGACACCCUAGAGAUAGGGGCUUUCCCUUCGGGGACAGAGUGACAGUGGUGCAUGGUUGUCGUCAGCUCGUGUCGUGAGAUGUUGGGUUAGUCCCGCAACGAGCGCACCCUUGAUCUUAGUUGCCAGCAUUCAGUUGGGCACUCU